UUCGAGUUUUAGGGUUACGAAUUUUCAUCUGUUUUUUAAACUUUGAGAGAUUUGGAAUGGGGAACUCUAGAAAGCAAGAAUUUGGUGACGAUGGCGCAGAACGAGACGACGGCGACGAUUUCGAGGAUUCACUGUCGGUUUCUAGUGGCGUUGAGACGUCUACGGUUGGAUCUGGUACUGUUUCGCAAGGAAGGAGUGAGAUUGGCUUGACGGAGCUUCUAGUGGAAGAUGGAAAUGGAGAUCUGCUGCUUCAACGGCACGAUCGUGAGGAUAGGGUUUUGCAGUGGUUACAGGCUUU
RNAcentral lists this unclassified non-coding RNA (298 nucleotides) under Hevea brasiliensis (rubber tree). The record is from RNAcentral. Lineage: Eukaryota; Viridiplantae; Streptophyta; Magnoliopsida; Malpighiales; Euphorbiaceae.